This 425-nucleotide ribosomal RNA is filed under the name uncultured bacterium. RNAcentral's name for it is "partial 16S ribosomal RNA". It matches the Rfam family "Bacterial small subunit ribosomal RNA", at positions 354 to 796 of the family's 1533-position model. The record is from RNAcentral.
GUGGGGAAUAUUGGGCAAUGGGCGAAAGCCUGACCCAGCAACGCCGCGUGAAGGAAGAAGGUUUUCGGAUCGUAAACUUCUAUCCUUGGUGAAGAUAAUGACGGUAGCCAAGAAGGAAGCCCCGGCUAACUACGUGCCAGCAGCCGCGGUAAUACGUAGGGGGCAAGCGUUGUCCGGAAUGAUUGGGCGUAAAGGGCGCGUAGGCGGCCUGGUAAGUCUGGAGUGAAAGUCCUGCUUUUAAGGUGGGAAUUGCUUUGGAUACUGUCGGGCUUGAGUGCAGGAGAGGUAAGUGGAAUUCCCGGUGUAGCGGUGAAAUGCGUAGAGAUCGGGAGGAACACCAGUGGCGAAGGCGACUUACUGGACUGUAACUGACGCUGAGGCGCGAAAGUGUGGGGAGCAAACAGGAUUAGAAACCCCAGUAGUCC